RNAcentral lists this unclassified non-coding RNA (382 nucleotides) under uncultured Lysobacterales bacterium. RNAcentral's name for it is "uncultured Xanthomonadales bacterium contains 16S-23S intergenic spacer region". Lineage: Bacteria; Pseudomonadati; Pseudomonadota; Gammaproteobacteria; Lysobacterales. The record is from RNAcentral.
UCCGGCUUGUCGUCGGCAGUCUCUCUAGAGUCCCCACCAUUACGUGCUGGCAACUAGUGGCGAGGGUUGCGCUCGUUGCGGGACUUAACCCAACAUCUCACGACACGAGCUGACGACAGCCAUGCAGCACCUGUGCUGGCUACCCUUGCGGGUUCAUUGCCGUUUCCGGUUCUUACUACCAGCAUGUCAAACCUGGGUAAGGUUCUUCGCGUUGCGUCGAAUUAAACCACAUACUCCACCGCUUGUGCGGGCCCCCGUCAAUUCCUUUGAGUUUCAGUCUUGCGACCGUACUCCCCAGGCGGCGAACUUAACGCGUUAGCUUCGACACUGAUCUCCGAGUUGAGACCAACAUCCAGUUCGCAUCGUUUAGGGCGUGGACUAC